Molecule: transfer RNA, 76 nt
Filed under: Pseudomonadota bacterium
Lineage: Bacteria; Pseudomonadati; Pseudomonadota
Description: Proteobacteria bacterium (marine metagenome) tRNA-Pro
Rfam family: tRNA
About the family: Transfer RNA (tRNA) molecules are approximately 80 nucleotides in length. Their secondary structure includes four short double-helical elements and three loops (D, anti-codon, and T loops). Further hydrogen bonds mediate the characteristic L-shaped molecular structure. tRNAs have two regions of fundamental functional importance: the anti-codon, which is responsible for specific mRNA codon recognition, and the 3' end, to which the tRNAs corresponding amino acid is attached (by aminoacyl-tRNA synthetases). tRNAs cope with the degeneracy of the genetic code in two manners: having more than one tRNA (with a specific anti-codon) for a particular amino acid; and 'wobble' base-pairing, i.e. permitting non-standard base-pairing at the 3rd anti-codon position.
Source: RNAcentral
CGGGGCGUAGCUCAGUGGUUAGAGCGCAGGCUUGGGGGGCUUGAGGUCGGCGGUUCAAGUCCGCUCGCCCCGACCA